Non-coding RNA from Leptonychotes weddellii (Weddell seal), 294 nucleotides. NCBI's taxonomy places the organism in Eukaryota, Metazoa, Chordata, Mammalia, Carnivora, Phocidae. The record is from RefSeq and is a predicted model, not a curated record.
UUGGAACUAUAUACAAAUACAGAUGCCCUGGCCAUGUCUCCAGAGACCCAGAGAAGCUGAUUCGGAAGCGUGCAGUACUGUUGGUAAGAGCUCUGAAGCCAAUCUAAGUCUUGAUCCUUUAUCUCUGGGAACUCUGGAGGCCAACUUUUAUCCUCAAAGGUCAGACACCUCACUAAUAUGUGCCGAGAUCCCUGUGUGCGCUCAAAUUAGCUUGUGAACUAGUGCCUUGUGUCUGUGUCUUGCCCUCUUGCCCACCGUGGUGGCUUGGAUGACAUCUUCCGCUCUCCUGUCUUC